Molecule: ribosomal RNA, 429 nt
Filed under: Verrucomicrobiota bacterium
Lineage: Bacteria; Pseudomonadati; Verrucomicrobiota
Description: Verrucomicrobia bacterium partial 16S ribosomal RNA
Rfam family: Bacterial small subunit ribosomal RNA
Source: RNAcentral
UAGGGAAUCUUCCGCAAUGGACGAAAGUCUGACGGAGCAACGCCGCGUGAGUGAAGAAGGAUUUCGGUUCGUAAAACUCUGUUGUUAGGGAAGAAAAAAUGUAUAGUAACUAUAUACAAAAGAGACGGUACCUAACCAGAAAGCCAAGGCUAACUACGUGCCAGCAGCCGCGGUAAUACGUAGGUGGCAAGCGUUGUCCGGAAUUAUUGGGCGUAAAGCGCGCGCAGGUGGUUUAGAAAGUAUGAUGUGUAAGCCCACGGCUCAACCGGGGAGGGUCAUUGGAAACUAAUAAACUUGAGUGCAGGCGAGAAAAGUGGAAUUCCUAGUGUAGCGGUGAAAUGAGUAGAGAUUAGGAGGAAGACCGGUGGCGAAAGAGGCUUUUUGGCCUGCAACUGACACUGAGGCGCGAAAGCGUGGGGGGCAAACAGG